RNAcentral lists this ribosomal RNA (406 nucleotides) under Helix lucorum. Its description in RNAcentral is "partial 16S ribosomal RNA". It matches the Rfam family "Archaeal large subunit ribosomal RNA", at positions 1924 to 2670 of the family's 2987-position model. Lineage: Eukaryota; Metazoa; Mollusca; Gastropoda; Stylommatophora; Helicidae. The record is from RNAcentral.
AGCUAUGUGUACUAAUACAUAGUUAUUUCUGCUCCAUGAUUAUUAAAUAGCCGCAGUACUCUGACUGUGCAAAGGUAGCAUAAUCAGUUGGCUUUUAAUUGGAGUCUGGUAUGAACGAAAAUAUGGGUGGUGACUGUCUAAAUAUAUUUUUCCUAACUUUUUAAUCAAGUGAAAAUACUUGUCCUAAUAAAAAAGACGAGAAGACCCUAGAAACUUGAAAAGUUUUUUGUUGGGGCGACAGAGUUACAUGUAACUAAUUUUAUAGAGCAUGACAUUAAUUAGAAAGGAUAAGUUACUCUAGGGAUAACAGCAUAAUUUUAAUAGUUUGUGACCUCGAUGUUGGACUAGGUACUAUACCCUUUAGGCAAGGGUAUAAGACGCUCUGUUCGAGCAAAUAUACCUACAU